Molecule: transfer-messenger RNA, 341 nt
Filed under: Ignavibacteriales bacterium
Lineage: Bacteria; Pseudomonadati; Ignavibacteriota; Ignavibacteria; Ignavibacteriales
Description: partial transfer-messenger RNA
Rfam family: transfer-messenger RNA
About the family: Bacterial tmRNA, also known as 10Sa RNA or SsrA, is named for its dual tRNA and mRNA-like properties. Its role is to liberate the mRNA from a stalled ribosome. To accomplish this part of the tmRNA is used as a reading frame that ends in a translation stop signal.
Source: RNAcentral
GGGGGUGAAAUUGGCUUCGACGUGGUUGAAGAGACAUUGAACUGCACACCGUGUUCCCCGAGUACACGUAAAACAAUUGGGAAUAAAAAUAUAACUGGCGAAUAUAACUACGCCUUAGCUGCGUAAUAAAACAUGCAGCCGUUCUCUUUUCUCCCUCAUGCCGGGGUUAAGCAGAGCGUCGUUUAGGUAUGAUAGCCGAACCGUUUGCUUGUGCCGGUAAAGCGAAUUCUUAACAGGCUAGCUUAAAGUGGUCCCCGUCUGUUAGGCAGCUUUAAGUUAAAAAAAACAAAACAGACUAAGUGUGUAGAUGUUUUUUGGUUCUUAACUUCGGACCGGGGUUC